UUUCUUUUUUUUUUUUGCAAUUGGAGCCUUUCUGUUGGUGCCAGCUGCUUAGUCGUAGGUAUCUUGUGGGACGUGGUAUCUGUCAGUAAGCCCCACGUGGGUGCCCCCUUGGCUAUCUCUCAUAGCCGCCCUUCUAUAAAUCACAGCAUAUUAAAAAAAAAAGGGGGGGAUAACACUGACAUGUGAACUAAUCCCCACAUCAAAGAGAGCAACUCUCCCUCCUCUAAACACCCGCCCCCCUCCUUUGCUGGGAAAAGUCUAAUGCCUAGAAGGUGAUUUACACAAAACUCCAUCCUGGUUGUUAGGAAACUUGCAGUGCCACUUACUCGCCAACUGCAGAAGAAACCUGGGAAUCAGGGUAACCACAAUAGCUAGCCUGCGGCUUCCAGCAUUUGGCAAUUCAGGAGAGAAAAAAAAUCAAUUGGCUUGUUGCAGCAAACUUGUGUCUAUGUUGAUUGCAUGGCAGGAUAGGCAUGUAUAUAGACAGAUGUAAACGUGACUAGCAAUGUAGGUCUGUAUGGGCACAUAUACAUCUGCAUGUGUCUACAGGUACUUAUACAGGCACAGGAGUACCUGUCCUGACACAUGCAUGAACACACACAGAUGCACACAUAAAUACCUCUCUCUCUAGCUCCUAGGAGCAAAGAGGGCCAGCAGCAGAUAUAUAUGAAAAACAUAAGCCCAUAUGGGCAUGCAACUGUGCAUCAGGUGUCCUAGACAUGGAGGUGGCUACCUGUCUGUAGCAUAUGCUCUCUUAAAGUAUUCAUUCCUGCCACAGGUCUGGUUUUGACCUAAAGGUUCAAAUGCUAGGAAUAUAUAGAUAAGGGGAAUACUUCUAUAUGACAGGAUUAAAACAUAAACUCUUUCCUACCCUUGCCUUUGCAAAUGCUCCCUGUGCACUAAGCACACAAGAUACUUCCAAAUAAUUGACUGUCUCUGGAAUGCAACUGAAGUGAGGAAAAACUAUGUCUCUCUGGCUAGAUAACUCUCUUUUUCCAAAUCAGCGCCAAGUCUGUGCCUGUGCUGAGCACACUCCUUUAGACGUACCACAAAGCAUAUGUAGCAGAGACAAUUUUACUGAUAGUUCUGUAUUUGCAAUCAGUAAGCAAAAGUACCCACUGUAUGUGAAAUAAGCUGUAUUAAUGUGAAUUUCUAUGAGUAUAUAAAUGCAUGUAAAC
This 1178-nucleotide long non-coding RNA is filed under the name Strigops habroptila (Kakapo). RNAcentral's name for it is "lncRNA (ENSSHBG00005019447.1)". The record is from RNAcentral. Lineage: Eukaryota; Metazoa; Chordata; Aves; Psittaciformes; Psittacidae.